This 1822-nucleotide long non-coding RNA is filed under the name Manihot esculenta (cassava). RNAcentral describes it as "long non-coding RNA (MESC_LNC009274)". Lineage: Eukaryota; Viridiplantae; Streptophyta; Magnoliopsida; Malpighiales; Euphorbiaceae. The record is from RNAcentral.
UAAAUCCCCUACAUGAUACAAAACGACUCAACAAUCCUGUAAAACUCUGUAGGCUUAACUGCUGCGACUCAGAUAUGUCAAUCUGAAAUGGCCCUCAAGGCCUAUACCAGGGACUACUACCUGCUGUGGCUCAAGGGAUUGAAACCCUUUUAAUCUGUAACACGUCCCAUUGGUAUCUCAUCAAAGCCAUACGUUAAGCCCAACUCACACAUUUCUCAUCAAGAAACGUAAAACAGGAUGCAUGUACAAAGGGAUUAAUCAUACAUCACACUAUGGCAAAGACACUAGAGAAAGCACAAGUCUAUCCAGUAAAUGACAAUACAUAUCGAUACAUUACAUGACAACUAAUCUUUUAAUUACAUCAUGUCCACUAUGCUAUUACAACCAUACAUUCAUGCAUCACUGUUCCCUGUACUCUUGCUGACUUUGACUUCCCAUAGCUAUCUCAGAACCUGCAAAACUGGGGUUAAGGGAGUGGGAUGAGCUACUACAGCCCAGUGAGAAGGAACAGUAAACAGGUCAUUAAUUACAUGCUUUCAUGAAAUGUAUCACAUCACAAACAUAUCACCUCAAGGAUGAACUUGUCACCAAUAGCCCUUUCCUGUAUACAUAUAACAAUAUGUCCAACUUGCCAGGGGCGAUUAGGCCUCACCUGGACUUCUCUUGCCUAACGUUAUCACAAGGCCAACUGUGCCAGGGGCGAUUAGGCCUCACCUGGACUUCUCUGUCCGAGUCAGGUCAAACUGUCUAUCUCAUAGUACCAGGAGCGACCUGGACUAUCCAGGAGCGACCUGGUAUGGCUAGCUCAUGCCAUAACUCUGUGCUCUAUCAAGGGCUAAGGAUCAUCCAACAUUCAUCCAUACAAAUAUCAUCUUAUGCAAUGCAUCAAAUUCGUGAAACGAAUGCAAUACAACCUAAUAUAAAACAUGACAUUUUAUGAUGCAUGGAACAUGCUAGAAGCGUGUCAUUUCUGAAUUGAACAUAUACAGAUUAGUUCCACUCACCUGUAGCCUCUGCUUGGCUAACUCUGGGCUAACUAGCUCUGGACCAACUCUAACUCUGAAGACUGCUAAACACCUCGUUUUCUCGGGUCCAAUCCUACAAUGGAGGACUUAAAUGAGGUACCAAACAUACUCUAGUCAACAGAUAAACAUCUCUUUGACAACUUCCCAAAACCCCUCUAAAACACUUAAAAACAUGCAUGCAAAACAAGCAAAGGAAGGCUGGACAGGGCACCUUCGGCAGCACCUUCGGCGGCCGAAUGUCUCCUCCAGAGACGAAAGUCAGGCAUGUUCGGCGGCCUAACUUGGACUUUCGGCGGCCGAACCUGAGUUCAUCCAGAACUCAGUUUCGUGCACAAGGACGCCUGCCAGUCCCUCCAUCAUCUGCUCAGCCCUCAAUACAUGCAUUUAACCCCUCUAAAACAUGCAUAAACACUUGACCAAGCAUAAAGGAGCUUAAACUCCAACAAAACAAGCUCACACAAGGCACACAUCAAACAUAAAGGAUUCAUACACCCUAUUAUGCCCAUCUCAUGGAAACUCAUGCCUAGCUCCCUUUUCCCUUUACAAAACUCAUAUAAACCAUCAUAAAAACCAGAGAUCAACACUUACCUUUUGAAGAACAAAGGCUGGUAUGAUUCCAACUCAAAGAUAUGGAGAAACCAAGCUUCAAAAGCAUCAAACUCCAAAACCUUGUUUAAAGCUUAUCACUUUUCAAAACAAGGGGAAAACUCAUUAAAACCUUGAAAGAGGUGAAGAAAAAACCAUGAAAACACUUCAAGGAGAUCAAGAACUUACCUAGGCCAGAAGGAGAGAAGAAG